Molecule: long non-coding RNA, 112 nt
Organism: Polyodon spathula (Mississippi paddlefish)
Lineage: Eukaryota; Metazoa; Chordata; Actinopteri; Acipenseriformes; Polyodontidae
Exons: 3
Source: RefSeq, a predicted model, not a curated record
GGAGGUGGUGCUGUUGGAUUUGCAUGCUGUGGAGGUGGUGCUGAUGGAUUUGCAUGUUGGGAGGUGGUGCUGUUGGAUUUGCAUGUUGGGAGGUGGUGCUGUUGGAUUUGCA